AGCGAACGCUGGCGGCAGGCUUAACACAUGCAAGUCGAACGGGCAUAGCAAUAUGUCAGCGGCAGACGGGUGAGUAACGCGUGGGAACGUACCUUUUGGUUCGGAACAACACAGGGAAACUUGUGCUAAUACCGGAUAAGCCCUUACGGGGAAAGAUUUAUCGCCGAAAGAUCGGCCCGCGUCUGAUUAGCUAGUUGGUGAGGUAAUGGCUCACCAAGGCGACGAUCAGUGGCUGGUCUGAGAGGAUGAUCAGCCACAUUGGGACUGAGACACGGCCCAAACUCCUACGGGAGGCAGCAGUGGGGAAUAUUGGACAAUGGGCGCAAGCCUGAUCCAGCCAUGCCGCGUGAGUGAUGAAGGCCCUAGGGUUGUAAAGCUCUUUUGUGCGGGAAGAUAAUGACGGUACCGCAAGAAUAAGCCCCGGCUAACUUCGUGCCAGCAGCCGCCGUAA
This 451-nucleotide ribosomal RNA is filed under the name uncultured bacterium. RNAcentral describes it as "partial 16S ribosomal RNA". It matches the Rfam family "Bacterial small subunit ribosomal RNA", at positions 29 to 523 of the family's 1533-position model. The record is from RNAcentral.